GUCUGGUGCCAGCAGCCGCGGUAAUUCCAGCUCCAAUAGCGUAUAUUAAAGUUGUUGCAGUUAAAAAGCUCGUAGUUGAAUUUCGGGGUUCUUCCGUUGGUCAGGCUAACAAGUCUGUACUAACGUGUAGAAUUCCUACCUUCUGGGGAACCAUCAUGUUAUUAAUUUAGCGUGGUGGGAAACCAGGACCUUUACCUUGAAAAAAUUAGAGUGUUCAAAGCAGGCUUACGUCUGAAUACAUUAGCAUGGAAUAAUAAAAUAGGACGGUGGUCCUGUUUUGUUGGUUUCUGAAUCACCGUAAUGAUUAAUAGGGAUAGUUGGGGGCAUUAGUAUUCAAUUGUCAGAGGUGAAAUUCUUGGAUUUAUUGAAGACUAACUUCUGCGAAAGCAUUUGCCAAGGAUGUUUUCAUUAAUCAAGAACGAAAGUUAGGGGAUCGAAGACGAUCAGAUACCGUCGUAGUCUUAACCAUAAACUAUGCCGACUAGGGAUCGGACGAUGUUAAAUUUUAUUGACUCGUUCGGCGCCU
Molecule: ribosomal RNA, 526 nt
Filed under: uncultured fungus
Lineage: Eukaryota; Fungi
Description: SSU rRNA
Rfam family: Eukaryotic small subunit ribosomal RNA
Source: RNAcentral